GGAAAAGCUUUGAAGGGAAUGAGUAGUACUUCUGUCACUGUUCCAGAAAGUCGGCGGUUGCUGUGAGCCGGUACAAACAGAAGGACGAAUUACCUCCCCGAGCGCCGUAGUGAACCGAGUUGAUAGUAGCCGCGGACGGGUAUACCGUUAUUUUUUGGAGUGGAAAACUUUUUUAUUUUUGUUUUCAAGCCGGGUGGUACCGCGCGUAUAGCGCCCCUGCA
RNAcentral lists this non-coding RNA (221 nucleotides) under Mesobacillus subterraneus. RNAcentral describes it as "Bacillus subterraneus T-box sequence". It matches the Rfam family "T-box leader". From Rfam's summary of the family: Uncharged tRNA acts as the effector for transcription antitermination of genes in the T-box leader family. The record is from RNAcentral. Lineage: Bacteria; Bacillati; Bacillota; Bacilli; Caryophanales; Bacillaceae.